Hyaena hyaena (striped hyena) is the source of this 778-nucleotide long non-coding RNA. RefSeq lists it as uncharacterized. The transcript has 3 exons. The record is from RefSeq and is a predicted model, not a curated record. NCBI's taxonomy places the organism in Eukaryota, Metazoa, Chordata, Mammalia, Carnivora, Hyaenidae.
CGGCCCAGUGUCACUGAGUCACUCCGCUAUCUACCCCGCCUCCGGUUCACGUCUCACGGUUGGCUGCAGUCGGCCGUGAAGGCAUCGAAGGUGUUGACGUGACUGGUGGCGAUGGAUGUUACGUCCUUCCCAUAAGACUAACGUAUUAACCACCAGUUCAGCAGCGGGUGUUUUCUGAACACCGACAACUUGCCCAUCCUUGAUCUCCUGCUUGCGGGACCAGCCAGCAGAUGCGUGCGCAGGGGGGCCCUACGGAGAUUCGAAUGGAACGAAGGUGUGUGGUCGGUGUGCCUGCGGGUAGGGAGGCCGCUGACAUGUCUUACCUAGUGGUUGGUAUUUUAUUUUUCGUACUGAGGGCUAGGAUUACCACCACGCCUAAACUCUUUUUUCCUGAAGCCAACUCAUGAGGCUAACGAACUUCAUUAGGGUUCUGAGACGUAGAAUGUCUGGGAUUAAAUGGCGUAUUUUGGCCACGGCAUCUGCGUACUUCAGCCAAUAUAUUUUCGGUGUCUGCUGCUGUGCAAAAGACGCGCUCUUAACACCUUCUACUUGCUAAAGCAGGACACAACAUCCCCCCGCCCCCCGGCCACCACCACUGUCCAGUUUCCUGACAUGGUGACGUUGCAGGUGAAAAGUUAUGUACAGUAACCAGCGAAGGGAAACCCCUCGGUGAGCCCCGGAAGAAUGAGAGCGUUAACUAUAAGGAUCGAGGGAAGAAGUGAGCAGCCCGAUGUCCGUUCCCAAUGGCAGGAGCCUGUGGCUACUUGGAAUCGUCCUC